Molecule: ribosomal RNA, 424 nt
Filed under: uncultured prokaryote
Description: bacterial SSU rRNA
Rfam family: Bacterial small subunit ribosomal RNA
Source: RNAcentral
UGGGGAAUAUUGGACAAUGGGCGCAAGCCUGAUCCAGCCAUGCCGCGUGGGUGAUGAAGGCCUUAGGGUUGUAAAGCCCUUUCGGCGGGGAAGAUAAUGACGGUACCCGCAGAAGAAGCCCCGGCUAACUUCGUGCCAGCAGCCGCGGUAAUACGAAGGGGGUUAGCGUUGCUCGGAAUCACUGGGCGUAAAGCGCGCGUAGGCGGGUCGCUAAGUCAGGGGUGAAAUCCUGGAGCUCAACUCCAGAACUGCCUUUGAUACUGGCGACCUUGAGUCCGGGAGAGGUGAGUGGAAUUGCGAGUGUAGAGGUGAAAUUCGUAGAUAUUCGCAAGAACACCAGUGGCGAAGGCGGCUCACUGGCCCGGAACUGACGCUGAGGUGCGAAAGCGUGGGGAGCAAACAGGAUUAGAUACCCCCGUAGUCC